This 446-nucleotide unclassified non-coding RNA is filed under the name Hevea brasiliensis (rubber tree). Lineage: Eukaryota; Viridiplantae; Streptophyta; Magnoliopsida; Malpighiales; Euphorbiaceae. The record is from RNAcentral.
UUUAUGUCUUCCAGAGGACCAUCUUCGAAUGGGGCCAGAAAGUAUUGAAGACCUUCUAAAUCAUGCCAUGAGUUUACAGUUGGAAUCAGUUGCCACACAACACAUGGUUAAAGAGAAGAUGAACUUCUUGAGGCGAGAGAUGUCCAAGGUUUUUAGUAAAGUAGUGACUUUAAAAAGUCACUUAUCUAAUACUGAUGCCAGGGUGCAAGAGUUGGAAGAGAAAGUGAAGUCAUCUGAGGAGCUUGUAACACGGCUAUAAAAGGAGCUAGAAGAUGUAAAGGCAAGCCAAGCUUCUGAGUAGGCUAAAUUGAAGGAUGAGCUCAAGGUCAAAAAUGAAAAAGUUAUGGACAAAGUGGCAAAUGCCUAUGUCUAGGCUCACAGUGAUCUUCUUGCUAAAAUGCUAAAAUGAUACCCAAAUGAUGACUUUACCUUGCUUAAAAUGCAUG